This 253-nucleotide ribosomal RNA is filed under the name uncultured bacterium. RNAcentral describes it as "partial 16S ribosomal RNA". It matches the Rfam family "Bacterial small subunit ribosomal RNA", at positions 524 to 776 of the family's 1533-position model. The record is from RNAcentral.
GACAGAGGGUGCAAACGUUGCUCGGAAUCACUGGGCGUAAAGCGUGCGCAGGCGGUUUUGUAAGUCAGAUGUGAAAUCCCCGGGCUUAACCUGGGAAUGGCAUUUGGGACUGCAAGGCUCGAGUGCGGCAGAGGAGACUGGAAUUCCUGGUGUAGCAGUGAAAUGCGUAGAUAUCAGGAGGAACACCGAUGGCGAAGGCAGGUCUCUGGGCUGACACUGACGCUCAUGCACGAAAGCGUGGGGAGCAAACAGG